GGGCCUAUAGCUCAAUGGCAGAGCGCGCGACUCAUAAUCGCUUGGUUGAAGGUUCGAGCCCUUCUAGGCCCACCA
This 75-nucleotide transfer RNA is filed under the name Chloroflexota bacterium. Its description in RNAcentral is "tRNA-Ile". It matches the Rfam family "tRNA". From Rfam's summary of the family: Transfer RNA (tRNA) molecules are approximately 80 nucleotides in length. Lineage: Bacteria; Bacillati; Chloroflexota. The record is from RNAcentral.